Molecule: long non-coding RNA, 1165 nt
Filed under: Betta splendens (Siamese fighting fish)
Lineage: Eukaryota; Metazoa; Chordata; Actinopteri; Anabantiformes; Osphronemidae
Description: lncRNA (ENSBSLG00000018451.1)
Source: RNAcentral
CUGGUCAGAGCUUUCUCUUUCUCUCUCUUCUCUCUCUUUUUUGCGAGUGAUCCAGUCCCGAUCGAGCCAUCAGGCUGUUCAGAGCAGAACACAUGUUUCAUUUUGGGCUGAAAUAGGAACAUUUGUCUGAGACAAGAGACUGAACAGAGGAGACAUGGAAACUGUGGUUGUAAUGAUGGUGGUGCUGGGACUCUGUCAUGGUGUAGAAACCUACUGUGAUGGCAGACAGAACGGAACUCAGUGUUAUGGAGCUUUAGGAGGAACAGUGGACGUUCAGCUGAUGGACAGAGACUCAAGAAUAUAUAGAUACUGGUGGAAAAAGGAUCAAAGACUGAUACUGGGUGGCAGAAUGGAUCAAAUUCUGUCUAAUCAUAUAGAAAACAGAUCCGUGUUUACUCCCAGUAAUGGAACAAUCAGGAUCAUUAACCUGAGCAGGAAUGACAGUGGUGAAUAUCAGCUUGAACUCUAUGAUUCAAAUGGACAGAAAUCAGAGGAACGAACUCUACAUUUGACCGUUCAAGGUAAAUACAUUGUCUCUGACUACAACACUGGAAAUAAAAUUCACUCACAUUAGUGCUAAACAUAUUAUUUAAUUUAAUGCAGCUCCUGUGGGCUCCGUCCUGCUGCUCUCUGAGUGUCUGUCUGAGGGACAGAUGAGGGCGUCCUGCUCCUCUGAGGGAGGGGACAGUCCUCAGUACAGCUGGACUCUGGAUGGACACACACUGACACAUGCUGAGCUCCUCUCUGGAAACAAUGAGACCAACAACAUCACUCUGAAACAACACGUCUCAGGACGUCUGCUCUGUUCAGUCAGGAAUCAAGUCAGUCGUGUCUCCAGAGAAGAGACGAUCACUGACUGUGGUGAGUGAGAACAUGAGUAGAAAUCCAGCUGGAAGUGUUGAUGUCACUCAUUAGAGUCAGUGUGAACAUGAUCAUUGAUGUGUUUCUUCAUCUCAGGCUUCAUCUUCAUUAACUGCACCUCAUUCAAUGGGACUUACAUCUCACAGUCGGUGUCUGCAGCUAAUAACACUCUGUGUGUUGAACCAACAACUCAUCCUACUACAGUCACAGAAGCUCAUGUCUCCACUGUCGGUAAGAAAGUGGACUGAAACACUAACAGAUGAUAAAUAAUGGACAAACACUGGCCUGACUUUUUUCAAAUCUA